Molecule: ribosomal RNA, 445 nt
Filed under: uncultured bacterium
Lineage: Bacteria
Description: bacterial SSU rRNA
Rfam family: Bacterial small subunit ribosomal RNA
Source: RNAcentral
GCCAGACUCCUACGGGAGGCAGCAGUAGGGAAUCUUUCACAAUGGGCGAAAGCCUGAUGGAGCAACGCCGCGUGCAGGAUGAAGGCCUUCGGGUUGUAAACUGCUUUUAUAAGCGAGAAAUAUGAUGGUAACUUAUGAAUAAGGAUCGGCUAACUCCGUGCCAGCAGCCGCGGUAAUACGGAGGAUCCAAGCGUUAUCCGGAUUUAUUGGGUUUAAAGGGUGCGUAGGCGGUUUAGUAAGUCAGCGGUGAAAUUUUGGUGCUCAACACCAAACGUGCCGUUGAUACUGCUGAGCUAGAGAGUAGUUGCGGUAGGCGGAAUGUAUGGUGUAGCGGUGAAAUGCUUAGAGAUCAUACAGAACACCGAUUGCGAAGGCAGCUUACCAAACUAUAUCUGACGUUGAGGCACGAAAGCGUGGGGAGCAAACAGGAUUAGAUACCCUAGUA